GACGAACGCUGGCGGCGUGCCUAAUACAUGCAAGUAGAACGCUGAAGGAGGAGCUUGCUUCUCCGGAUGAGUUGCGAACGGGUGAGUAACGCGUAGGUAACCUGCCUGGUAGCGGGGGAUAACUAUUGGAAACGAUAGCUAAUACCGCAUAACAGUAGAUGUUGCAUGACAUUUGCUUAAAAGGUGCAAUUGCAUCACUACCAGAUGGACCUGCGUUGUAUUAGCUAGUUGGUGAGGUAACGGCUCACCAAGGCGACGAUACAUAGCCGACCUGAGAGGGUGAUCGGCCACACUGGGACUGAGACACGGCCCAGACUCCUACGGGAGGCAGCAGUAGGGAAUCUUCGGCAAUGGACGGAAGUCUGACCGAGCAACGCCGCGUGAGUGAAGAAGGUUUUCGGAUCGUAAAGCUCUGUUGUAAGAGAAGAACGAGUGUGAGAGUGGAAAGUGCACACUGUGACGGUAUCUUACCAGAAAGGGACGGCUAACUACGU
Molecule: ribosomal RNA, 494 nt
Filed under: uncultured bacterium
Lineage: Bacteria
Description: partial 16S ribosomal RNA
Rfam family: Bacterial small subunit ribosomal RNA
Source: RNAcentral